AAAAAAAACUCAUAAUUCGGAGACAAUCCAUUUUAAAAUUCAACUGAAUACAAUUUGAAUUCAUGCCAAGGAAAAUGAACUUCCCCGACAUAAUAGGGGUAUCAAAUGUGAGUAGGCUAUGCAGCAAUCAACACCAGUGCCACCCAAACUAAACAAACAGCAAGGAUAAUAUUUUAUAUACAAUACACAAUAAAUUAAGAGUUCUAUACAGAUUUACCUAAAAAGCAGGAUGGUACCGGAGAUUCACAUUAGCAUCCACCCUCUGCACUACUCUCCUGAAACUCCACUCAUGGCAGAAUUCCAAGGCUAGCCUAAGGGCAGUUCCAAGUCCAAGCACAACAAUAACACCAAAUAUAAUGUUAACAGGCAGGGCAGAAACACCAAGUGUAAUGGAUAUCAGAACAUCCAACAAGAGACCACCAAUAAGAAUUGAGAAUGCCACCCAAAGUGGACUAAAACAACCUCUUUCAGGAUCUCGUGGUCUAAAGGUUGGGUCAAUCCUCCAAACCCAGUAGUUUGCCUGUCCCAUGAAACACAAGAAAUAUAAAUCAGAUGAUUAAUAGCACGUCUAAAAUCUAAACCUAAACUCAAAAGAACAAAACUCAUUGCUUCUUUGGUUUGUCAUAAUUCAUGACAAACGAAUAAUGCUUGUGCAUUAGCAGAAGCCAGAAGGGACAAUGGGCUCAUGGACUGAGCCAAUUCUAUAAACAAUAGCUUCCCCAUACACUAUAAUUCCCUUUUCCAGUUUCUUCAAAACAUUCCACUUAGUUUAACACUCAGCACUUUUGUUAUUUUGGAAAAUGAAGUUCUAUAUCAAUAGCAGCAUUGGGACUUUGCAAGCAAAGUUUUAGGCCAUCUAAGGUAGAUUCACAGAGAUUAUAUGAACAAGCAUCACAUCCCAAUACAUUCAUCAAAUUUAGAGUAUAUUAAAACGGUAGAGGCCAUCCAUAGACAUUUAUCAUACUCUAUGGGACACUCCAACAGAGAGUACCUACACUUGGCUGAGAUUCUGGAGGUGACACAUUUACAGCUAUCUCUUGGCAUAUCUCACAUUUGUUUGAUCCUCUCGUAUGAAACCAAGUGUCUAUGCAUGAGCGGUGGGCUUUUGCAAGACCACCUUUACAUUUGCAUCCAAGAUCUAUGAGAACUUCUUCCCUCUCCUGCUGACAAACUCUGCACUGUUCAUGAGAGCUCGCAGUCCUCGACAAGUAUCCCUUUUUGGGAGAAUCCACGCUGGGCAAUUCCUCCUUAGAAGGGUCCACAUGAGAAUCAGCAUUAGAAACUAUGAUGGUGAGAAUUGUGGGAUUGGGCUCAAGGGUAGAACUCUCCGAUACGGCACCGUUGCUGCCCUGUUGCGGCAACAAUUGGGGGUUGUCCUGCUUCUCAAGGUCGAGCUCAGGUGAGAGUAAAUUACCACACUGGUUACUACCAGUUGUGGUGCUUGCUUUAUUGGAGCCAUCAUUCUGCAUCUGAUCCGAUUGAUCGCAAGCCUAGGAAAGAAGAGUUCGUUUAGUAAAAAAAAAGACCUAGAAAUUACCUUAUCUCUGAAAACGUAAUUAUGUCUAAAGGCAUCGAAUUUUUCCAAAUACAAGGGUGUAUAAGAAAAGGAUUCACUUGUUGAAUCUGAAUGAGCCAUCAAACAGGAACAAAAAGUGACGAGCAAUUCAAAAACUCAUUAAAAAAGGGAAAACAAUGAAAAUUGCAUAGCAGAGCCAGGCGUAACAAGAGAACAGUUGGAAUGGUUCCUGCAUUGCCCAAGGGAAAAAGAGAAGGUGAAAUGAAAGUCCGUACCUAGAUAGUGGAGAUUGGUUUUGGCUUGCAAAGUUUAGAUGAAUUAUUACUUGGCACUAAUUAAUUUGAAAAUCAAACAUAGGGAUCACGGAAAUGGAAAAGGGAAACGGAAGAGAGAAAAUCUGAAAAGGAGAGUCCACCGCCCGGG
Molecule: unclassified non-coding RNA, 1939 nt
Filed under: Hevea brasiliensis (rubber tree)
Lineage: Eukaryota; Viridiplantae; Streptophyta; Magnoliopsida; Malpighiales; Euphorbiaceae
Source: RNAcentral